RNAcentral lists this ribosomal RNA (484 nucleotides) under uncultured bacterium. RNAcentral's name for it is "partial 16S ribosomal RNA". It matches the Rfam family "Bacterial small subunit ribosomal RNA", at positions 30 to 507 of the family's 1533-position model. The record is from RNAcentral.
AGUGAACGCUGGCGGCAGGCCUAACACAUGCAAGUCGAGCGGCAGCGCGGGGGCAACCCUGGCGGCGAGCGGCGGACGGGUGAGGAAUUCGUCGGAAUCUGCCUUUAUGUGGGGGAUAACGUAGGGAAACUUACGCUAAUACCGCAUACGUACUACGGGAGAAAGUGGGGGACCGCAAGGCCUCACGCAGAAAGAUGAGCCGACGACCGAUUAGCUAGUUGGUGGGGUAAAGGCCCACCAAGGCGACGAUCGGUAGCUGGUCUGAGAGGAUGAUCAGCCACACGGGGACAGAGACACAGCCCAGACACCGACAGGGAGAAGCGGUGGGGAAUAUUGGACAAUGCGGGCGAGCCUGAUCCAGCCAUGCCGCGUGUGUGAUGAAGGCCUUCGGGUUGGAAAGCGCUGUUGUCCGGAAAGAUAUCCCUGGAGCUAACACCUUCUGAGGAUGACGGUACCGGAAGAAUAAGCACCGGCUAACUUCGUG